GAGCGCCGUAGCAAUACGGAGCGGCAGACGGGCAGUAGUAACACAGUGGUGAAACGUGCCUCUUCAGGUGUCGGAACAAGCUCAGGGCAAGACUUGAGGCGUAAUUACCAGACAUACAGUCCGGUAAUGGAUGAAAGUAUUUAGUCGCUGAAGAGAUCGGCCCGCGUCUGAUUAGCUAGUUGGUGGGGUAAUGGCCCACCAAGGCGACGAUCAGUAGCUGGUCUGAGAGGAUGAUCAGCCUCACUGGGACUGAGACACGGUCCAGACUCCUACGGGAGGCAGCAGUGGGGAAUAUUGGACAAUGGGCGCAAGCCUGAUCCAGCCAUGCCGCGUGGGUGAUGAAGGCCCUAGGGUUGUAAAGCCCUUUCGGCGGGGAAGAUAAUGACGGUACCCGCAGAAGAAGCCCCGGCUAACUUCGUG
Molecule: ribosomal RNA, 420 nt
Filed under: uncultured bacterium
Lineage: Bacteria
Description: bacterial SSU rRNA
Rfam family: Bacterial small subunit ribosomal RNA
Source: RNAcentral